UACGUAGGGCUCGAGCGUUGUCCGGAUUUAUUGGGCGUAAAGAGCUCGUAGGCGGCUUGGCGCGUCGAAUGUGAAAACUCGGGGCUCAACCCCGCGCUUGCAUUCGAUACGGGCAGGCUCGAGUUCGGUAGGGGAGACUGGAAUUCCUGGUGUAGCGGUGAAAUGCGCAGAUAUCAGGAGGAACACCAGUGGCGAAGGCGGGUCUCUGGGCAGAUACUGACGCUGAGGAGCGAAAGCGUGGGGAGCGAACAGG
This 253-nucleotide ribosomal RNA is filed under the name uncultured bacterium. RNAcentral's name for it is "partial 16S ribosomal RNA". It matches the Rfam family "Bacterial small subunit ribosomal RNA", at positions 524 to 776 of the family's 1533-position model. The record is from RNAcentral.